This is a long non-coding RNA of Penaeus monodon (black tiger shrimp), 801 nucleotides long. RefSeq lists it as uncharacterized. The record is from RefSeq and is a predicted model, not a curated record. The transcript is spliced from 3 exons. Lineage: Eukaryota; Metazoa; Arthropoda; Malacostraca; Decapoda; Penaeidae.
CAUGUAGCAUCUUCCCUAAAGGUGGCAGUUGCCCAGUCGUACCGAUGGCAGACUGUAUGGAAACUCCAACAAGGAACUGACCCUUACUGGCACUUCGCUCAGGUCACGGUCACGCAAGACGUGCCCUUCCAGGUCAGCCCACGGAAAUGAAAACAAGCUUGGUUUUGGUGAUAAAUACACAUGUAAAAUGAACUAAACAGAGGAGUUAGUCGCAUGGAGAUACCUAAAAAAAGGAAAGUUGAAGCUGAACCAAAAUAAUAAUAAUAAAAAAAACAUAUUUUACUUUCAGAUUGUGGUCAUAGGAGAAUUGAAUCCCGAGGCCAAAUCUUAUCUCAGCGUGGACGACAUCUUCUAUGAAAAGAACUUCGCGUGCAAUGGCCAACUGGUGCCAGAGACAGCUGACCCGAUUACGCAAGCCGUGAGCGACCUAACCUGCAAAUUCCAAGGGAAGUUCUGCAAAUGGACGCCAACGCCAGAGUUCCAAGACGGCCAGACAGACCAGGUUCACGACGACCUUGGGAAGGGAAAAUACGCCUUCGUGACAGUCAACGAGACGGUUGAGAAACCUUACCAUCCCUACCUCGAGUCCGUCCCUAUUGCUGCUAACUCGAAUGACAAUCAAACCUAUUGCCUGCAUUUCUGGUAUUAUAUGUUUGGCGUAAACAACCCUUGGCUGACAGUGGAGCGCUAUAUCUUUAGAGAUCACUGGGGCAACAAGACGGGCCCUGAAUUCAUCUGGGAGAGAACUGCUGGUUAUGUAGACAAAUGGCAGAAAGGAUAUGUGGACAUCAACACCACACA